This 557-nucleotide ribosomal RNA is filed under the name uncultured bacterium. RNAcentral's name for it is "partial 16S ribosomal RNA". It matches the Rfam family "Bacterial small subunit ribosomal RNA", at positions 355 to 902 of the family's 1533-position model. The record is from RNAcentral.
UGGGGAAUAUUGGACAAUGGGCGCAAGCCUGAUCCAGCAAUGCCGCGUGUGUGAAGAAGGCCUUCGGGUUGUAAAGCACUUUUAUCAGGAGCGAAACGCUGUCGGCUAAUACCCGGCGGAACUGACGGUACCUGAGGAAUAAGCACCGGCUAACUUCGUGCCAGCAGCCGCGGUAAUACGAAGGGUGCAAGCGUUAAUCGGAAUUACUGGGCGUAAAGCGUGCGUAGGCGGUUUCUUAAGUCUGCUGUGAAAUCCCCGGGCUCAACCUGGGAAUGGCAGUGGAUACUGGGAGGCUAGAGUGUGUCAGAGGGUGGUGGAAUUCCCGGUGUAGCGGUGAAAUGCGUAGAGAUCGGGAGGAACAUCAGUGGCGAAGGCGGCCACCUGGGACAACACUGACGCUGAGGCACGAAAAGCGUGGGGAGCAAACAGGAUUAGAUACCCUGGUAGUCCACGCCCUAAACGAUGCGAACUGGAUGUUGGUCUCAACUCGGAGAUCAGUGUCGAAGCUAACGCGUUAAGUUCGCCGCCUGGGGAGUACGGUCGCAAGACUGAAACUU